Molecule: ribosomal RNA, 457 nt
Filed under: uncultured bacterium
Lineage: Bacteria
Description: bacterial SSU rRNA
Rfam family: Bacterial small subunit ribosomal RNA
Source: RNAcentral
ACUCCUACGGGAGGCAGCAGUAGGGAAUAUUGCGCAAUGGGGGAAAGCCCAUCGACGCAGCGACGCCGCGUGAGUGAUGAAGGCCUUCGGGUCGUAAAGCUCUGUCGUAAGGGAAUAAAAAUGAAGGUACCUUACAAGAAAGGACCGGCUAACUUCGUGCCAGCAGCCGCGGUAAUACGAGGGGUCCUAGCGUUGCUCGGAAUCAUUGGGCGUAAAGCGGGUGUAGGUGGACGACCAAGUCAGAUGUGAAAGCCCCGGGCUGCAACCCGGAACGAUGCAUUUGAAAUACUGGUUGUCUUGAGUGCAGUAGAGGAAGGUGGAAUUCCAAGUGUAGUGGUGAAAUACGUAGAUAUUUGGAGGAACAUCGGUGGCGAAGGCGACCUUCUGGACUGUUACUGACACUGAGACCCGAAAGCGUGGGGAUCAAACAGGAUUAGAUACCCUGGUAGCUACGAGU